UUAUUCUUUUAGUUUUUUCUUUAGUACUUUACAAACAUAUAUUUUAUUUCAGUUAAUGUUUAUUUUGGGAUAAUGUUUAUUUUAUUUUUGUAUGGUUUUGGGUUUUAGUUAACAGUAAUAGCCGUGUCCUGUAAAGGGUGAACUUGAGCACAUAUCUGAGCGUGGAUCACAUGAAUGUGUUGGUUGUGUAACUCGUGAAAGGCGUCCAUUCUCACGAGCGCCUGGUGCUGUGACUUACUGCUGGGAACUCCACUGCCUUCAUCAGGGUCUCUGGCGUCUGGCAACAGGAACUGGGUGGUUUGGAUGUCGAGGAAACAUUAACAGACCUUUCAAGGACGAUUUUUUUUUAACGCAACUCAAGAGACACUCCCACUGAGGAUGUCGUGUGGCUCGUGUUUCUGGGCCGUCAUAUGGCUGCUGGUGCUGCUGAUUCUGGGCUGGCCCUUGAGCAUUAUGCUGGGGGGUCUCUACGGCCUCAUCGCCCCGCUCACCGUCUGUGUCGGCCUGGACCGGCUGGCCGACCUGCUGAUGGAGGGGGCCAACCUGGGCCGAAAGUGUGCUCAGAACAUGAGGCACGGCAAACCGCUGUGCUGAGACCACGAGCCCGACGAGUCCAGAAGAUUCCUCACUUUCACAUCUUUCCAUUUAAGCUGUAUUAGUCAACGUGAACUGUUUUUGACGUCAUUUACUGUACGGUCGGUUCUCUGUUUGACUAUAACCUGACGCAUCCUUAAAGCCUUAGUGACACUCUCCUGCUUCCUCUCUGUAUCUUUUGCUCCCAGGCUGUUUGAAUAUGAAAAAUUAAAUGAUUCUGAUAAAA
Long non-coding RNA from Megalobrama amblycephala (Wuchang bream), 820 nucleotides. RefSeq lists it as uncharacterized. The transcript has 2 exons. The record is from RefSeq and is a predicted model, not a curated record. Lineage: Eukaryota; Metazoa; Chordata; Actinopteri; Cypriniformes; Xenocyprididae.